CGCUGGCUCCAUGCCUAACACAAGCAAGUCGAACGCCCUGGGCAACUGGGGAGUGGCGGACGGGUGCGUAACGCGUGGGGACCUGCCUCGAAGUUCGGAAUAACCGCGGGAAACUGCGGCUAAUACCGGAUGUGGCCUGAGGGCCAAAGGGGAAACUCGCUUCGAGAGGGGCCCGCGUCCGAUUAGCUAGUUGGUGAGGUAACGGCUCACCAAGGCGACGAUCGGUAGCUGGUCUGAGAGGACGAUCAGCCACACUGGGACUGAGACACGGCCCAGACUCCUACGGGAGGCAGCAGUGGG
Molecule: ribosomal RNA, 300 nt
Filed under: uncultured Alphaproteobacteria bacterium
Lineage: Bacteria; Pseudomonadati; Pseudomonadota; Alphaproteobacteria
Description: bacterial SSU rRNA
Rfam family: Bacterial small subunit ribosomal RNA
Source: RNAcentral